CAAGAAAAUAUUGGAAAAUGUAAACUGUGGGUGAACUUCUCAUGGACUAGAAAGCUAAGCUGACUCCCAGAGCAUCCCCUCUAAAUGGGAGGUGGGAACAGUAUACAACUGCUCUGAAGUCAGCAACCCAUAUGCCUUGACAUGGCUUGCGUUUCUGUGUCCUCAGGCAGAGACAGGGGGUUACAGUUGACUGUCUCUAACCAGCACUGCUGUGUUUUCCUUUGCAUCACCACAGAACAGUGUGGCCACAUGUUGUGACUCAUCCUAGGAGAGUCCAUAUUCUUUCUCCUAGAAGCCUUGCAGCAAGAGAAGAUGUGAGAAGCACAAGCUGUGGAGGAUCACAGCCUCCAAAGGCACAGAGGAAGAGACUAGUCUUAUGAUAAUAGUUUAAAUCUCAGGUUUGUGGGAUUUGAAGUGAGAUUUUGUGAGCCUCACAAUGCCAGUAGGCAAACCAGCCCUGUUGCUUGCUCCCAUGGUGAACUCUUCUGUAGAUGGACAUGGAUAUUGCAGUUAUUUUCUCAUUUCCAAAAUGUGUGUGUAUGCCCUGGCAGCAAGGCUGGUACAGAGGCUGCUCUUUGACAGGGUGCCAGUGACAUUCCAGGACACAAACCUUGUAAACAAGGGCAGCUGGGGAGCCACACCUCCCUGGUCAUGAUUUUUCCUGUCAUUUAUUACCAGGUAAUAUUCCAAAAUCUUGCAGACUGCACAUCAACACUGUCACUUCCCAACUGCUUUAGAGAGUUCUACACCACAAAUCAGGAGAGCCUUGGAGACUUGUGCAGCCCUUUGUACAGCCCAUGUGCAGCAAAACGAUGAAAGCUGGCCACGUCUGUGGGACAUGACAGCAUCAAUGCAGGGCAUUUCCUUCAUGCACCACAAGAGGUUCACUUGCAUUUUCCUGCAGGGAAAGGUGCUCCCAGGGAGUGUCUGGGGAAAUGCAACUUGCCUCCAAAGGAAGGGCUGCAUUUAAAGAGAUCUGGGUGACGCUGCACUCCACAAGGGCACAGCCUGUUGCAUCCUGAGAAGAAGCAGUCAUGCACUGGUGAACCCACCUGGGCUGGGGUGGCCUGCCAAUGCCUUUUGGUAGGAGACUCACAAGCAAGCCUUGUAUUCCACAGAAACCUGGAGGGCUUUCUACUGUUCUACUUGUAAGCUCAAGGUGUUGAGGGAGGAGAAGGCUGCCUAAACUUUCAUUUCCUGCCAGCGUUUCCUGUAUGAUGUAAGAACAAGAGUGGGAGCAGCAAACAGCUCCUCAAGCAUUAACUGUGUCAGGAUGUUUGAGAUUGUGUGAGGCAAUCAGUACUCAGAGGCUCGAAGCAAAGUUUUUCUCCAUGGUCUCAGCUGGAAUACCCUCUUGUUCUUGGACUCAGACCUGUGAGUUGUUGCCUUGUGUGAGAUAUGAGAUCUGCUAAGAAAUGCAUUGUAAAGUUCUUCAGCAAUGAACUAAUUAUUCUGGCACUGGAUUCUAAGCAAUAAUGAGAGUGGAGGAGGUAGAAACACCCUAGCUUGUAGCUAUUCUACUAACUUUGAUGAAGAGACACCAGACAAAACAUUUGUUACCAUCCAUUCCUGGAUUCAUCUGAGCAUUAAGGAUCUUCUGCCACUGUCAAAGAAUGAGAUGGUUUAUACAGGUUUAUACUACCCUGUAGCACUUACACUAGCAAGGCUUCAACAUGCCCACUUGAAACAACUUAGGCUGCUUUUGAUUCUCAAGGAACAUGAAAGAGAUAAACUCACUAGUAAAUUCAUGGAUUACAGCAGAAAUUAUACAGAUAGCAUAACAUCAGAUUCAGGUUCCCUACACCAAACCAGUUGUUAUGAACUUCUCCAGUGAAAGAAUAUCCUAGAAUAAAAGACAUGUUCACACUACAAGUAUGAUUCACCCUACCUUCUCCAUAAGUCUGCACAACAGCCAGACAAUUUCUAUGCCAUGAAUAGCCGAAGAAUAUGAACUAUGAACAAGAGGUGAGACCAGGAAUUCCUGUCCCAUAGACUUCCAAGUAUGAGCAGAAUGUUCCAGCCAUAUAACUAAGUGCUGGAUAUGCCCUAAAAAACAAAUAAAAAUCUCUGUGCUGUCGCUCAGAUUGUCUGCAAAGUGCUCUCUAGGAAGAUUUAUUUUACCAGCCAGGAAUUAGUACCCUUGAGUAAUUACAUCUUGGAUCUAGGAAAUAUUCAACUGGAAAGCAGUUAAAAAGCUCUCAAAAAAUUUUAAGCAAUAUAAUGGAAAAAAUAAAACAAUAGUACCAAGAAAUGUUCCCAGGCAUCAAAAUGUGUUUAUGUUGCUCAAUUGUUGCUGGGGUUCCUGGCAUAUUUCUGGCUAAUGCUAAGUAACAUUCUCCCAAAAUUUUCCCUGCCUGUGUCAGGAGAUGGCACAAGCCAUAGAUUAGACCCAUAGGUAGAAUGAAUCAGUCUGUCCCAUGCUUUGGUGGGCAAGAAAGCUCAAGAGUAUGGAUGUACCUCUAGGUCUCAGGGUUGGCAGAGUUUGAGAUACUAGCACAGAUACAGCUACUGGGACAGAAAAAGUGAAAGUAUUUUUGCUCAUCCACUCCUACCUCAUUAGUCAUACCACCAUAGCAUACUUUGGAAGACUACAGGAGACACCAGGAAACUACUGGAGACACACUUCAUACUUUUCUGGGGGAGAAAACAACAAGUAAGGAUGUCAAAGAACAUUCCCAAGUAUUCAACAGAGAAAGUAACCUGUCUCGCAUGGGUGAAUGUUACUGUGAGCCUGAGGGUCCUCAGGGGUGCUUUUUCUCACCACAGAGAAGCUGCUAUCUGUGCUCCAGGCCACAUAGAGGGAGAAGCAUUCAGCAUGUAUUUGAAGAUGUUUAGGUUUUGAUUAUUGCUAGUGACACCUGUGCCAAGGAUAAGACCACUCCUGCUGCAGUUUAACUCUCUGUAAAGAAAACUACCUGAGAGAAGGAGAAAGGAGGGCUUAGAAAGCCACCUAAUAGCUACCUUUCUUGUCCUAUUGUUAUCAAGAAAUCUCAUCAGGAUCUUUUGAGGAUAUCUGUAAAAUCAUCCUGGGUAACAAGAUGAGAAGGGGUUGAUAAGCCAUUGGCAAAGGGAUAUACAUCAGUAUUUGCAAACUGAAUAAUGGGGUGUCCUUUCUGAAAUUGCUGGUUCUCAAUGACAUCUGCAAAAGAGAGAUGAAGGAACUAGGUGCCCAACUCAGUAUCAGGUGAAAAUGGUGCCUGGGCUACAGGAACAAGACACACUCCUUAGCAUAUCCAAGUGUGGUUUUCCAGACACUUCAAUGGGGAUGAAGAGUCAUUCAAAGAGCUGUACAAACUGAUUGUCUGUGUAAUCAGUACUCACCUACCCACAGAAAUCAGAGGUCUAUGGACAGUCAAUACAGACGCCAACUACACUGUUUUAUAUUAGACUUAAAUUAGGGUGGAAUCAUGCAAAGGCUCUGGAACAACAAACCACCUGUUAGUUACACUGAGCCUCUGUGAGAUACAACUAUUGGCUCUGUCUCAUGUGUGUCAGCAUUAUCCAACCCAGCUGGUUGAAAUAUUCUGGAUUGCUUCACAGAUCUGGUACAGAUAGCCUGUCUCUGAGUCAGUGAACUGCCAGGUCACAGUGAAAACAUGUUUUUCCUCUGUGCUGUCUUUCUUCACUAGUAAUAGCCUAAUUUCCUUGGAAUUUGACAUAUACAGAUUAUGAGUGAUUUUGUACACUUUAAUCUGAUCAAUUGCUCACCGUAACUGAUCAUUCCUCAAAAGCGAAGAAAUGAAGGUAUUUCAAAAAGGAAGUCAAAUUCUUGAGUCUUCCCUUUAGGCUGCACAAGUUAUAGGAUCUAAACUCUGGCCUUAAAUGUACAAUAAAAAAAACAAAUAUGAGUGGUGACCCUGACACAAAUCAGAGCAGACUUGAUUUAGUCCGACCAUUGAAAGAGUUUGUGGGUUUUUUUCUAUUUGCCAUGCAGCCUAAGGUCAGAUUGUCCCAGCUGCAGAUAAUGCAGAACUCUUCUAUAAGUGAGGGGUAAGGUCUCAAUAAGCUCGUUUGGCUUAUUUUCCCAUAAAAGCAGUACCAAAUGAGUGGCUGACACAGGAC
Molecule: non-coding RNA, 4062 nt
Organism: Sturnus vulgaris (Common starling)
Lineage: Eukaryota; Metazoa; Chordata; Aves; Passeriformes; Sturnidae
Source: RefSeq, a predicted model, not a curated record